CAAGUCGAACGAGAAAGUUCCCUUCGGGGAGCGAGUAAAGUGGCGCACGGGUGAGUAACACGUAGGUAAUCUACCUUCGGGUGGGGAAUAACGCAGGGAAACUUGCGCUAACACCGCAUAAUGCAGCGGCACCACAUGGUGACAGUUGUUAAAGCGGGGGAUUUUAGGACCUCGCGCCUGAAGAGGAGCCUGCGGCGGAUUAGCUAGUUGGUAGGGUAACGGCUUACCAAGGCGACGAUCCGUAACCGGCCUGAGAGGGCGGUCGGUCACACUGACACUGACAUACGGGUCAGACUCCUACGGGAGGCAGCAGUCGGGAAUUUUGGGCAAUGGGCGAAAGCCUGACCCAGCAACGCCGCGUGAAGGAUGAAAUCCCUCGGGAUGUAAACUUCGCAAGAAUGGGAAGAAUUAGUAGGGGCUAAUACCCCCUAUGAUGACGGUACCAUUUGUAAGCUCCGGCUAACUCCGUGCCAGCAGCCGCGGUAAUACGGGGGGAGCAAGCGUUGUUCGGAUUUACUGGGCGUAAAGGGCGCGUAGGCGGUCAGCACAAGUCAGUUGUGAAAUCUCCGGGCUUAACUCGGAAAGGUCAACUGAUACUGUGCGACUAGAGUGCAGAAGGGGCAACUGGAAUUCUCGGUGUAGCGGUGAAAUGCGUAGAUAUCGAGAGGAACACCUGCGGCGAAGGCGGGUUGCUGGGCUGACACUGACGCUGAUGCGCGAAAGCCAGGGGAGCGAACGGGAUUAGAUACCCCGGUAGUCCUGGCCUUAAACGAUGGAUGCUUGGUGUCUGGAGUUUUAUAGUCUCCGGGUGCCGUAGCUA
RNAcentral lists this ribosomal RNA (820 nucleotides) under uncultured Pseudomonadota bacterium. RNAcentral's name for it is "bacterial SSU rRNA". It matches the Rfam family "Bacterial small subunit ribosomal RNA", at positions 58 to 854 of the family's 1533-position model. Lineage: Bacteria; Pseudomonadati; Pseudomonadota. The record is from RNAcentral.